This 613-nucleotide ribosomal RNA is filed under the name uncultured archaeon. RNAcentral's name for it is "bacterial SSU rRNA". It matches the Rfam family "Archaeal small subunit ribosomal RNA", at positions 227 to 840 of the family's 1478-position model. The record is from RNAcentral.
AGGUAGUAGUGGGUGUAAUGUACCUACUAGCCGACGACGGGUACGGGUUGUGAGAGCAAGAGCCCGGAGAUGGAUUCUGAGACAUGAAUCCAGGCCCUACGGGGCGCAGCAGGCGCGAAAACUUUACAAUGCGGGAAACCGCGAUAAGGGGACACCGAGUGCCAGCAUAUUAUGUUGGCUGUCCACAUGUAUAAAUAACAUGUGUCAGCAAGGGCCGGGCAAGACCGGUGCCAGCCGCCGCGGUAACACCGGCGGCCCGAGUGGUAGCCGCUAUUAUUGGGUCUAAAGGGUCCGUAGCCGGUUUGAUCAGUCUUCCGGGAAAUCUGACAGCUUAACUGUUAGGCUUCUGGGGGAUACUGUCAGACUUGGAACCGGGAGAGGUAAGAGGUACUACAGGGGUAGGAGUGAAAUCUUGUAAUCCUUGUGGGACCACCAGUGGCGAAGGCGUCUUACCAGAACGGGUUCGACGGUGAGGGACGAAAGCUGGGGGCACGAACCGGAUUAGAUACCCGGGUAGUCCCAGCCGUAAACGAUGCUCGCUAGGUGUCUGGGAUGGUGCGACCGUUUCAGGUGCCGUAGGGAAACCGUUAAGUGUGCCGCCUGGGAAGUACGG